AUUGAACGCUGCCGGUACGCCUAACACAUCCAAGUCGAACGGUAACAGGACGCAGCUUGCUGCUUUGCUUACGAGUGGCGGUCGGGUUAGUAAUGUCUGGCAACCUGCCCGAUGGAGGGGGAUCACUACUGGAAACGGUAGCUAAUACCGCAUACCGUCGCAAGCCCAAAGAGGGGGACCUUAGCGCCUCUUGCCAUCUGCUGUGCCCCGAUGGGAUUAGCUAGUAGGUGGGGUAACGGCUCACCUCGGCGACGAGCCGUAGCUUGUCUGAGAGGCUGACCAGCCACACUGGAACCGAGACACCGUCCAGACUCCUAAGGGAGUCAGCAGUGGGGAAUCUUGCACAAUGGGCGCAAUCCUGAUGCAGCCAUGCCGCGUGUAUGAAGAAGGCAGUCGGGUUGUAAAGUACCUCCAGCGGGGAGGAAGGUGGUGAGGUGAAUACCUGCGCGCAUGGACGUGGCCCGCAGAAGAAUCACCGUGUAACUCCGUU
RNAcentral lists this ribosomal RNA (490 nucleotides) under uncultured bacterium. RNAcentral describes it as "partial 16S ribosomal RNA". It matches the Rfam family "Bacterial small subunit ribosomal RNA", at positions 30 to 507 of the family's 1533-position model. The record is from RNAcentral.